AUUGUUUAGCCUCGCUGUAGCAUGAAGUGCUAAUCACUGCUUGUUGGUGUGAGCCACGACACCACCAGCCAUGACGCUUGGUGUGUUUGGCAUUGCUACCUGGUUGGUGUAUUGCUGUGAGUUUGGCUCAUAGAUCGACUAUAAGUUGUAAUUCUGAGGCUGGAUUUCCACCCGAGCAGAAACAAAGCGUUUAACAUCCAUCUGACGGGUGACUGAUGGAUGUACAGUAUGGUGGAGGUAAUGUUGGCGAGACACUCAGACGUUUGCUCUCAAUUCAAACUAGAAAAGACAAACGUCUAGGUGCUGAGAUUGUAACGUGCAAACUAUUACUAACAAUUAUUUCAUUAUCAAUCUAUCGGUCUAUAAAAUGUUAGGAAGCUCUGAAAAAUUUAAUUUGUUUUGUCCAACAGUCCAAAAGAUAUUCAACUAGACUCAGCUAAGAAAAAUACAAUUAACAAAUGAUCACAGUUGUUGCUGAUUAAUUUUCCGACUUAUCAUUGCAGCUCUAAAAUACAGAUGAUCUGUCUCUGUGUAAAUGGAGCCUCAGUUUUGAGUUUUAUUAUUGAAUAAGGUCAUUAUUUCUUGUGCAUGACGGAGGUUUGGACAGCGAUCAACAUGAUUUGACCGUAAAUUCAUCACUAAAAUUGUUUCCCAUCUCUAUAAAAACGUCAAAUAUCACACAGAGCUUUUUUUCAGUGUCCUCAGUGUCUCUGCUGCUGCUGCGUGUUUGUGUUUUGAAGUUUGUGUUACAAAGCUUGUGUGAUGCACUCGCAUCAGUUGGGUUUCCACAACGCACUACAUUUAUUUCUAGAAAUUUUUUGCAAUUUUUAUUCCUGAUUUUAACAGCAGGAAACCCAUCGGCUGUGACGCUGUCUUUUUAAAAUGUUCUCUACUUCCUAAAUGACCAGAUGUCUCAGAUAACCUCUCAAACCUCUUCCUCCACCCCCCCUCCAUCUUUCACCCGCUCUUUAAACCUUCACCUCAGGGAGAGGAGGCCAAAAACAUUCCUGGAGAGUCUGUGACGGAGGAGCAGUUCACAGACGAAGACGGGAAUCUGGUCACCAGAAAAGUGAUCAGAAAGGUGGUGCGCCGUGUGUACAACACGAACGAAAAGAGGGAAAGUGACGGUGAAUCUGUCACGGAAGCGGGAGCUGGUGUUGAUGGUGGUGGCGGUGUUAGUGUUGGUGGUGGUGUGGCGACAGGCGGAGAAGAUGCUGCUUCUUCUUCAGCUGGAGCAGCAGCCGGACCCACAGGGGGGAAGAGCAAGAAGAGGGGGAAGCGAUCCCGGCAGGGUCACAAGGCUGAGAAAUCUGAGCCUGGAGACGCCGCCAGCAAGAAACAAGGGAAGAAGAGUCAGUCAUAACAGCAGAGCUCUCCACUAAACCAGGUCCACCAGUGUCCGCCUGUGACACUACACAACCACACCCUGGGAGGAAAAACGGACUGGAAGCCUCGUCAAUCGGCCAAAAAAAAAGCGCGUCUGAAGCUUUCACACUUACAAACGCAUGGUUUUUACAGCAAGAACAACAACGCAGUUACCUUCUUUGAUUUCGCAUGAGCAUGUCACACCGAAAAAAAAACUCACUCACUCACUGUUGGACGCCGAAAAAGGACACACGUGAACGUGAGCCGGGACUUUCUUAUCUUUGACGAACGAAAGAAAAAAGACGUGUGAUUCACUCUCUCUCUCUCUCUCAGACACUCGCCUUAUAUGGUCUAUUUUUUUCCUCCUGGACCCGCAGUAUUGGGGUUAUACCAUGUGGUUCUUUUUUAAAAAAUGAAAUAUAAUAGUAAAUGGGUGAUUUUUUUUGUUGUAUAUAAAUGACACUGUAUAAAAAUCUACAAAAAAAAACAAAACAAAAAAGAAAUCAGUAGCUUCACGGAUUGUUUAUGCACUGAUUUGAGUUGAAGCUUUGCAGAGUCGGUGCAUUUGUAUUGAGAGGUCGACACUGUUUGAGCAGCCUUGAGUGUGUGUGACCUGACAUGCUCUUCCAAACGAAUAUAUAAAAAGGAACAAAACAAAAAAAAAACGCUGUAUGUAAAUGAGAAUGGAGAAAAAAAUGCUUGAUUUUAAACAAAAAGGACGUUUCUUUAAAUCCAAACAGCUACUUCCGCUCUGUCUGUGAGACAUUCUUCUUCAGAGAAAUAUUUUGCUGCAUGUGACGUCACUUUAUUUUUCAUUUAUUUUUCCUCCUAAUUCAAAAAGCACUGUAAUACAAAUUAGAAAGGGUUUGAUGGUACUUCUUCUGUCUUUGUGAACACUCAUAAUAACCCAAUCAUCUUGUCAUCUAUAACUGUUUUUAUUUUAUUUUGUACACAAAUGAAGACACUCUCCUCCACGCUCGAGCGGCGCAGUUAACAAACGCUUUCAUCGUUACACUUCGGGCAGGUCGCCGGCUCUCCUGAAUGUAACCCGGCACAUCUGUGUGUUAUCUCCAAACUGCUCGCUGCCCUCGUAUGUGUGCGUGUGUGUGUUUAACAUCAAAUAAAAAUGUCUAUCUGUAAACCCGUCAUGCAAACUACAAGUGUAUGUUUAAGCUUUUAGGUCUGCUGUGGUUUUAAAAAAAGGGGGACUGUUUUUAUUUUGGCGGUUUGAUGACUUUUACCUUUAUUUAAUCACAUGAGAACAGAGAAUCUAAUUUUUAGCUCCAUCAUUUAAAUCUAAUCAUUUUUACUAAAUCUCAGUAUUGAUCACACUUUGUUAAAAAUCUGAUUUUCUGUUCCUGUGUCAUUUUAUUUUUCCUUUCCGUUUGUUGUCUUUUUUCAUACAAAUCCACCCCGAGCAUCCAUUGUUGAUGAUAAAUCUGGUACCAACAUGUAUGACGAACCAACAUAGCCUACACUGGAUGAUCCAAGUAAUUAUUUAAGCAGAAAAAUAAAUUGUGUUUAAACUGAAA
Long non-coding RNA from Larimichthys crocea (large yellow croaker), 2897 nucleotides. RefSeq lists it as uncharacterized. The transcript is spliced from 4 exons. The record is from RefSeq and is a predicted model, not a curated record. NCBI's taxonomy places the organism in Eukaryota, Metazoa, Chordata, Actinopteri, Sciaenidae.